GAUGAACGCUAGCGGCAGGCCUAAUACAUGCAAGUCGGACGGGAUUCAGGAGCUUGCUUCUGAUGAGAGUGGCGCACGGGUGCGUAACACGUAUGUAACCUACCUUUAUCAGGGGGAUAGCCUCUCGCAAGAGAGAUUAAGCCCGCAUAAAAUCACAGCACAGCAUUGUGUAAUGAUCAAAUAUUUAUAGGAUAAAGAUGGGCAUGCGGAACAUUAGCUAGAUGGCGGGGUAACGGCCCACCAUGGCGACGAUGUUUAGGGGAUCUGAGAGGAUGGCCCCCCACACUGGUACUGAGACACGGACCAGACUCCUACGGGAGGCAGCAGUAAGGAAUAUUGAUCAAUGGGCGGAAGCCUGAACCAGCCAUGCCGCGUGCAGGAAGACGGCCCUACGGGUUGUAAACUGCUUUUAUACGGGAAUAAACCCAGAUACGUGUAUCUGGCUGAAUGUACUGUAAGAAUAAGGAUCGGCUAACUCCGUG
This 482-nucleotide ribosomal RNA is filed under the name uncultured bacterium. RNAcentral's name for it is "partial 16S ribosomal RNA". It matches the Rfam family "Bacterial small subunit ribosomal RNA", at positions 28 to 507 of the family's 1533-position model. The record is from RNAcentral.